UGUGGGAGCUGGCUUGCCUGCGAUAGCUUUAGUGAAUUCACAAAAGCUAUCGCAGGCAAGCCAGCUCCCACA
RNAcentral lists this non-coding RNA (72 nucleotides) under Pseudomonas tolaasii NCPPB 2192. The record is from RNAcentral. Lineage: Bacteria; Pseudomonadati; Pseudomonadota; Gammaproteobacteria; Pseudomonadales; Pseudomonadaceae.